CUAACUAGCUGAGCUGAGUUAAAAGUUCCAAGUUCCCUGGAAGUUUCCUCCAUCCUUCUUUGUAAAUAUGAACUAAUACUUUCUUCACUGUAAUACACCACAGUCCAGCUUCUGUGGAGUGGAAAAGGAAGUACACAGUUACACAAAGUAUUACCAGAGUCAAACAGAGAAAGAAAGGUUGCUUUCACUUCUUUUUUUAAAUGUAGGAGGUGACAGUAGCACGUAAAUGUUUUUUGUUUUUUUGUUUUUUUUUUCAAGUGCAAACCCCCAUCAUGGUCUUGUGUAUUUAGUGGUGACCUGCAGACAGAGACCAGACUGGACCUGAGUUCACAGACAUGGAGACCACAGCGCUGGCUUUGAUGCUUUGUCUGGUGAUGGCUUCUUUUCCAGUGGAGUCUGCCACAAUUCCAGCGAUUAAGAUGAACCGUAUGUGGCCUGAAGAUCUGCAAGGUUUCUUUCAGAAGGUGCCCCCACAUAGACCGUCAGGUGACGACAGGAGCAGCUCUGUGUCCAUCCCGACACACAGGCCUGGUUCAGUCAUUGCUAAGUGCAAGUGCGGCAAAAAAGUGUGUAGAAUGAGAAUAAUAAGUAAUAAGUGAUGUUGUAUUUUUGAGAGUAAAGUCGCGUCUGUGAAUUUGUAUUCGUACUGAAGAAAGCGUAAUCGUACAUUUACAUUUGGUUAUUGUAAUUCUUGAUAUUGUAACUUUAAUUUGUAUUCUGAUGGAUAAAAUACACACAGUACAUUUGAUGUACGACUGGACUCAUUCAAGAGUUUACAAAUAUUUAUAUUAUGCUCAACUACAGACAAAUAUGCAGGGAUUUCUCUCCUAUGCACAUGAAUAUUUAUGAAAGAUUUCUUACUCCACAUGGAACUAAACACAAAUCUUUUUGCUUUAACUGUGUAUAUUGUGUUGUAAUAGCAUUAUCUAGAGUUCCCAAGUGCUUUUUUUUUUUUUUUUUUUUUUUACUGCAUUAGCACAAACGAGGGACAUUUGCAGCUUUUCUGGUCAACAAUGUCUAAAUGUGUGUGUGUGUAACAGAAGCGUCCACAUAUAACAUGUCAUUAAAAACAUUCCAAAA
Boleophthalmus pectinirostris (great blue-spotted mudskipper) is the source of this 1080-nucleotide long non-coding RNA. RefSeq lists it as uncharacterized. NCBI's taxonomy places the organism in Eukaryota, Metazoa, Chordata, Actinopteri, Gobiiformes, Gobiidae. The record is from RefSeq and is a predicted model, not a curated record. The transcript has 3 exons.